This is a small nucleolar RNA of Jaculus jaculus (lesser Egyptian jerboa), 134 nucleotides long. Its record names the gene U8. It matches the Rfam family "U8 small nucleolar RNA". Rfam says of the family: U8 is a member of the C/D class of snoRNA which contain the C (UGAUGA) and D (CUGA) box motifs. Lineage: Eukaryota; Metazoa; Chordata; Mammalia; Rodentia; Dipodidae. The record is from Ensembl.
CCAUCAGGUGAGACAGUCUCACCUGUCCUUCCUUCUGAAGGACAGACAGGAGUUUGAUGAUUGGAGUUUGUAUGGGAUGUGAUUAAUUUCUCUGCUUAUUAGGGUUUACAAGUUAUAAAUUGCUCCUAGCUGAU